This 1279-nucleotide ribosomal RNA is filed under the name uncultured bacterium. RNAcentral's name for it is "partial 16S ribosomal RNA". It matches the Rfam family "Bacterial small subunit ribosomal RNA", at positions 94 to 1399 of the family's 1533-position model. The record is from RNAcentral.
AGUGGCGGACGGGUGAGUAAUAUAUGAGAAUAUGCCCUUCAGAGUGGGAUAGGACUUUUUAAGUUUAAUACCACAUACUCCUAACUUCAUUAGGGAAAUGGCGAAAGCCGCUGAAGGAUUAGCUCAUACCGGAUUAAGUAGUUGGUGAGGUAAAAGCUCACCAAGCGUGAUCUGUAGCUGGUUCGAGAGAAUGACCAGCCACACUGGGACUGAGAUACGGCCCAGACUUCGAUAGAAGGCAGCAGUGGGGAAUUUUGGACAAUGGGGGAAACCCUGAUCCGGGGAUGUCGUGUGAGUGAUGAAUGCCUUAUGGGUUGUAAAACUCUUUCAGUAGGGAAGAUAAUGACUGUACCUACAGAAGAAGCGCCGGCUAACUCUGUGCCAGCAGCCGCGGUAAGACAGAGGGCGCAAGCGUUGUUCGGAAUUAUUGGGCGUAAAGAAUGCGUAGGCGGUUUUGUAAGUCUUUUGUGAAAUACUAGAGCUUAACUUUAGUGCUGCAAAAGAUACUGCAAGACUUGAGAUCGGAGAGGGGUAAAUGGAAUUCUUAAUGGAGAGGUUAAAUUCACUGAUAUUAAGAGGAACACCAAAAGCGAAGGCAAUUUACUGGAACGAUAUUGACGCUGAGGCAUGAAAGUGUGGGGAGCAAACAGGAUUAGAUACCCUGGUAGUCCACACUGUAAACGAUGAGAGCUAGAUGUUGGGUUUUUUAAAUUCAGUGUCGCAGCUAACGCAAUAAGCUCUCCGCCUGAGGAGUAUAGUCGCAAGACCGAAACUCAAGGGAAUUGACGGGGACCCGCACAAGCGGUGGAACAUGUGGUUUAAUUCGAAGGUACGCGCAAAACCUUACCAGCUCUUGACUAUAGUUGAUUGUAAAUCUCAAGUAAUUGGAUUGUCACGUAAAGGUGGAUCAACUAGCAGGUGCUGCAUGGCCGUCGUCAGCUCGUGUCGUGAGAUGUUGGGUUAAGUCCCGCAACGAGCGCAACCCUCAUUCUUAGUUGCUAACAGGUAAAGCUGAGUUCUUUAAGAAGACUGACGGUGAUAAACCGUAGGAAGGUGAGGAUGACGUCAGGUACUCAUGGCCCUUAUGGGCUGGGCUACACAUGUGUUACAAUGGUGGUUACAAAAAGAAGCAAUCAUGCAAGUGUGAGCUAAUCUCAAAAAACCAUCUUAGUUCAGAUUAAUCUCUGCAACUCGGGAUUAUGAAGAUGGAAUCGCUAGUAAUCGUAGAUCAGCAUGCUACGGUGAAUACGUUCUCGGGUCUUGUACACACCGCCCGUCG